ACACAAACCGUUCAUUCUGUAAAUCUUAAAUAAAUCAUUAGAAAUAUAUUAUAGUAUAUAGUAUAUAUAAGCAUUACAAUUUCUUUUGGAUAUUUUAUUACACAACGAUCAUUGUACUUAAAGUAUAACAAUAAUAGUAUAAUCUUUUACCAGGACCAUCACUAACAUUUAUUUACAAUUUUUUUAUUAUAAAAAAUAUCUAAUAUGUCAGUUAUAUAGAUGUAUCUUUAUUAUUAUUAUAGGUUAUGUUUAUGUGUUAUAAAUGACAAAAAAUACAGUAUAUAAUAGUCUUUUUCGACUAUUCAAUAAUUACACAAUGCUAAGUAAUUAUUUAAAUUAAUAAUAUUCAGGGAAUAUAAGAGCUGUUCGACAGAUUAUUUUGUAUAGUGCGAACUCCUUUCACGUGGAAAUUGGAAGAUAUUGAUAAAUAUAAAAGGAUCAAUUGGGACUUUUACAUACAUAUGAAUAUAUGUAAAAAGGCACUGAACGUACAACGAGUUCGUCCGCAAUAUAACUGAUGGUAUUAGGACGUAUUAGGGGUAUUACAGAAGCAACGGUGUAAUUAACAAGAACAUUUCCAUUAUUUUGCGAUUUGACAAUGACAAGAAAAUGUCGAUAUUGUAAUUAUAACUUAAUAAUUUUAUAAUUGGCCGAUACAAAUUAACAAGCCAAAUGAAAGUAUCAUUGCAUUAUUUUUUAAUGUUGUUCCUAAAUAAUUGAAAAAUGGUUAUUAAAUUAACUCUUAAAUUUUUCAAUUAAAAUUUAUUCAUCUAAUCAAACGGC
Bombus pascuorum is the source of this 783-nucleotide long non-coding RNA. RefSeq lists it as uncharacterized. The record is from RefSeq and is a predicted model, not a curated record. Lineage: Eukaryota; Metazoa; Arthropoda; Insecta; Hymenoptera; Apidae. The transcript is spliced from 2 exons.